CAGUCGCCGCGGGAAUACGAAGGGGGCUAGCGUUGCUCGGAAUCACUGGGCGUAAAGGGUGCGUAGGCGGGUCUUUAAGUCAGGGGUGAAAUCCUGGAGCUCAACUCCAGAACUGCCUUUGAUACUGAGGAUCUUGAGUUUGGGAGAGGUGAGUGGAACUGCGGGUGUAGAGGUGAAAUUCGUAGAUAUUCGCAAGAACACCAGUGGCGAAGGCGGCUCACUGGCCCGAUACUGACGCUGAGGCACGAAAGCGUGGGGAGCAAACAGGAUUAGAUACCCCUGUAGUCCCUGUCUCUUAUAU
RNAcentral lists this ribosomal RNA (301 nucleotides) under uncultured bacterium. Its description in RNAcentral is "partial 16S ribosomal RNA". It matches the Rfam family "Bacterial small subunit ribosomal RNA", at positions 509 to 809 of the family's 1533-position model. The record is from RNAcentral.